CGGGCUGUGGUAUAAAGGCUAUUACGCACGAUUCGGGUUCGUGUAAUGGCGGUUCAAUUCCGCCCAGCCCGA
Molecule: transfer RNA, 72 nt
Filed under: Candidatus Falkowbacteria bacterium RIFOXYA2_FULL_47_19
Lineage: Bacteria; Candidatus Falkowiibacteriota
Also listed under: 2 other names
Description: tRNA-Pro
Rfam family: tRNA
About the family: Transfer RNA (tRNA) molecules are approximately 80 nucleotides in length.
Source: RNAcentral